AUCUAAUUUAUUUAUCUCAUAGCUCAACUCCAUCCAAUUUAUUAUAAAUCUAGCCACUUUACAUCCAGUUCAUAUCAAAUUUAGCCAUAAAUAUUUCAAUUUUUGUCCAAAUUGUAAGUCAAUUGAAUGACCCUAUUUUAAUCUCAGUCGUUGAUCAAAAUUGAUCAGACGGUUGAGAAGGAGUCAAAUUUCCUUUCCUUUUAAGACCCAAAACAAAUCCCUAACCCUAAUUUGCUUCAUUUCAUCUGCCUCCCCACAGACCCGCCUCUCUCUCCCUCUCUUCAUCUCACCUCUCUUGUCCUCUCCUCACCUGCGUCCAAGGCUACCGCCGGCCACUCUAGCAUCGGCAAGCCACUCCUAUUGCUCUCCUCUCCCUCUAUAAAACCCCUUUCCCUCCGAUCUCCCUUCCAAAGUCGUCGCAGCCAAGGAAGGCAACAAGUAGCCGCUCCAGCUGACCUUACUCCCUCUGUUUGUCAACCCGAGCCACCCCUAGCGCCAUCAGCGGCGCCGCCAUCGGCGAAAAAAGCCACGCCAGCGAGUACAAAGCCCCGCGCCACCAGCAACCUCCGAUCAUCGCCGCCACGAUAACAGCGGCGACCAACGCCCCGUGUCGUCGUCACCUCCAACAGCAGCGACCAACGCACUACCGAAAUCGGCCUUCACCAGCCGGGACUUGACCCCUCUUCCUCCGCCAGCGCCACCCUAUGACGUCUCUCUACUCUCCGCAAAUCCCCCCAGAUCCGACUGUUAUAUGGUUUAAAUUAAUAAUUACGGGUUCCAAAGAGUCGCCAGAAUUGUUAUAUAAUUAGUUUUAGUAUGCUUUCUUAUUAUUUGAUUUGUAAUAUUUUGUAAAGACAUUAUAUUGAUGAUGUAAUAAUAAUUUUAGGGACUGCUUCUGGAGGUGGGAAUCUACAUGCUCUGUGAAUGAUAUAGGUAGGCACAAUUUAGGUUAACGUGUAAUACAUGCUAUGUGGGUCACUUAGGCAUAAAAUUAUAAUUUAUUAACAUAUGAAUCAAUUGCUACGGUU
Molecule: long non-coding RNA, 1028 nt
Organism: Capsicum annuum
Lineage: Eukaryota; Viridiplantae; Streptophyta; Magnoliopsida; Solanales; Solanaceae
Exons: 2
Source: RefSeq, a predicted model, not a curated record